UGUUUAUAUAGUUUAAAAACACUAGACUGUGAAACUAGAAAUAGAUCUUAUAGACCAAGGAUGAA
This 65-nucleotide transfer RNA is filed under the name Riama unicolor. Its description in RNAcentral is "tRNA-His". The stretch from base 2 to 56 matches the Rfam family "tRNA". Rfam says of the family: Transfer RNA (tRNA) molecules are approximately 80 nucleotides in length. Their secondary structure includes four short double-helical elements and three loops (D, anti-codon, and T loops). Further hydrogen bonds mediate the characteristic L-shaped molecular structure. tRNAs have two regions of fundamental functional importance: the anti-codon, which is responsible for specific mRNA codon recognition, and the 3' end, to which the tRNAs corresponding amino acid is attached (by aminoacyl-tRNA synthetases). tRNAs cope with the degeneracy of the genetic code in two manners: having more than one tRNA (with a specific anti-codon) for a particular amino acid; and 'wobble' base-pairing, i.e. permitting non-standard base-pairing at the 3rd anti-codon position. Lineage: Eukaryota; Metazoa; Chordata; Lepidosauria; Squamata; Gymnophthalmidae. The record is from RNAcentral.